AAUGAACGCUGGCGGCAGGCCUAACACAUGCAAGUCGAACGGAUCCUUCGGGAUUAGUGGCGGACGGGUGAGUAACGCGUGGGAACAUACCCAAAGGUACGGAAUAGCCCCGGGAAAAUGGGAGUAAUACCGUAUGUGCUCGCAAGAGGAAAGAUUUAUCGCCUUUGGAUUGGCCCGCGUUGGAUUAGGUAGUUGGUGGGGUAAUGGCCUACCAAGCCGACGGUCCAUAGCUGGUUUGAGAGGAUGAUCAGCCACACUGGGACUGAGACACGGCCCAGACUCCUACGGGAGGCAGCAGUGGGGAAUCUUAGACAAUGGGGGAAACCCUGAUCUAGCCAUGCCGCGUGAUCGAUGAAGGCCUUAGGGUUGUAAAGAUCUUUCAGGUGGGAAGAUAAUGACUGUACCACCAGAAGAAGCCCCGGCUAACUCCGUGCCAGCCGCCGCCGUAA
RNAcentral lists this ribosomal RNA (449 nucleotides) under uncultured bacterium. Its description in RNAcentral is "partial 16S ribosomal RNA". It matches the Rfam family "Bacterial small subunit ribosomal RNA", at positions 29 to 523 of the family's 1533-position model. The record is from RNAcentral.